Callorhinus ursinus (northern fur seal) is the source of this 5040-nucleotide RNA transcript. It is a transcript of the gene named aph-1 homolog B, gamma-secretase subunit, with no coding region annotated. The record is from RefSeq and is a predicted model, not a curated record. Lineage: Eukaryota; Metazoa; Chordata; Mammalia; Carnivora; Otariidae.
CUCCGUCCCUCCCAGCUCGCUCCCCCGCGCGGAGCUCAGCUCUGUCAGCGGCCGGUGCACCUCGCGUCCGGGUCAGGCCUCCGGGCCGGCUUCCGCGGUCGCCAUGACGGCGGCCGUGUUCUUCGGCUGCGCCUUCAUUGCCUUCGGGCCUGCGCUGGCCCUCUACAUCUUCACCAUCGCCACCGAGCCGUUGCGCGUCAUCUUCCUCAUCAUCGGAGCUUUUUUCUGGUUGGUGUCUCUGCUGUUUUCCUCCCUUUUUUGGUUCAUGGCAAGAACCAUUACUGACAACAAAGAUGGACCAAUACAGAAAUAUCUGCUGAUCUUGGGAGUGUUAGUCUCAGUCCUUAUCCAAGAAAUGUUUCGGUUUAUGUAUUAUAAACUUUUAAAAAAAGCCAGUGAGGGUUUGAAGAGUAUAAAUCCAGAUGAGACAGCACCUUCUAUGCGAUUGCUGGCCUAUGUUUCUGGUUUAGGCUUUGGAAUCAUGAGUGGAGUAUUUGCCUUUGUAAAUACCCUUUCCGACUCCUUGGGACCAGGCACAGUGGGCAUUCAUGGAGAUUCUCCCCAGUUCUUCCUAAAUUCAGCUUUCAUGACACUGGUUAUCAUAUUGCUGCACGUGUUCUGGGGCAUCAUAUUUUUUGAUGGCUGCGAGAAGAAAAAGUGGUCUGCCCUUCUUGUAGUUCUUCUGACCCAUCUGCUGGUGUCAGCCCUGACCUUCAUAAGUCCUCAUUAUGGAAUCAAUCUGGUGUCAACAUAUAUAAUUAUGGUACUUAUGGGCAUCUGGGCAUUCUUUGUUGCUGGAGGCAGCUGCCGAAGCCUGAAAUUCUGCCUACUCUGCCAAGACAAGGACUUCCUCCUUUUCAACCAGCGCUCCAGAUAACCUCUGAGAACCAGCACCUGUCAAACAUUGGAACAAGGACUUCCCCUGUGUCCAGCCUCAACAUGUGAGAAACCUCCAGUGGAAAGAAGUAUAUAGUUUAUCUUCACCUCAUUGAAAAUGCUGAAUAGAUGAACCACUCAACCACUCAACUGGCUUAUGGAUUCAGUCGCAGUAAAAGAAUUUUUAAGGAUUUGACACAUUCUCAGUACAGUUCCUGUGUGCCCGUGCUUAAGGAGAUGAAACAAAAGAGCCGCGAGCGCAGACGCUUUCUUGCCUGAUGGGUCCUGCCAUAUUAGACCAUGAGCUGCUGUGGCUACAAAUGUGGAUUAUGCCCACUCUCUGAAGCCUUACAAGGCACCUUCCCUGCACGUUGGUGAUGCUAUGCAUCACCUGGCAAGGCUGAAGAUGGGCCUUGAUGCCAAGAAAGCCUAGGGGAUAUUUUUCAAGACCCAGAGAUCUCAGCCUACCGCUCGCUUGCUCUUAAAGUGAUGUGGGGAACGAAGGACUAAAGCAGCCCCAUGCCAAGGACUGAGGCCCACCAAGCUCCGUUUGAAUUUUACAUUGUCUAUAUUUUGACGCAGUACACAUCCUCUCCACGUGAAGACCUACUGAUUUUCAGCAAUUUUGCAUCGGUUUAUGGAGCACCUAUUAUGAGCAGGAAUUACUCAGGGUCUCGGGUCCGCCGGGUUGAACACAACAACAGGGCCCCUGCUUGCCCAAACUUGCAUCCUUUGGGAUACUUCAGGCUGGAAAAAUUGGUGUGGGACUGACCACAGCUCCAGAUAGGUCUUUGGGGCUGGUGGAGGUAUGACCUUCCUAAUAGGAAACCCUUGGGGACACUGACUCUUGAUACCCACAUCUAGAGCAAAUAUAAAACCCAAUCUGAUAAGGAUGCUUGAAAAAUAUCAAGUAAUUAUAUGCCUGGAAUCACAGAGCUCAGUGCAAAGUUUAUACUGGGAGAGUGUGACAAUACUACAAACUAAUGCCAAACUACCAGUGAGCAGGAAGAGACUUAAAAAAUAAAUCCUCCAGGGCUCAGGCUUCUUGCUAACUACCGGGUAAUUGUCCUUCCUCUGGAAAUGGCAAUAAACCCUCCAAUCCCAUGUUCAGAUAAACUUUCUUACUCCCACAGGAAAAAAAAAAAAAAAAUCUUUAAAGAAUGUAAAGCUGUGUUUAAAAGAUUAUCUCCCUGUGGUAAUUAAAUGGAUUUUCAGGCGGAGGUUUCCCCAGAAAAGCAAGUAAUUGGCAUGUCAUGGCUCGUUAGGGUGGAACCAUGGUGCUCUGUGGGCUCUCUGUGAGUUGGGACCCAAGCUUUGCCAUCUGGGGUCCAUUCAUCAGUAUUUCAGCACGAGGAAUGAAAGUAAUUGGAGCAGAGGGGAAGGGAAAGGAACACCACUUCUUCCGGGAACCUGUCCAUAGACAACAGCACUAUUUCACAAGAGUGGACGUGUGUACACUGGCCUCACAGAAUCCCGGCUCCCUACCCCUUGUUCUCUAACCAGGCGACUUCAUCUGAGAGUAAGGAGAGUCGGAAGAAAAACUUGCUAUGAGGAGUUGAUCCAAGGUCUGGACAUACACGGUAGAACCCUACUAAUUUUUCAGGCUGUCAACCUUUGGAUAUACCUUCUUGGAAAUGUUAGAGCUUGAAGGGAUUUCAAAAUUUCCUGUCCAACCUUUCAAUGGACACCAGUUUUUCUCACUUGCGCAUGUUAGAGUCUUCACUGAGCUAUAUUUUAAUUUUCAAGAUCUCAGAGCCCUGGACUCAAAGCAACUCAAGCCCACCAAGAUGGCAGAGGGAGAGGGUGGCUAGAGGACACCAAGAUAAGACCAUUACUCAGCGGAGGACAAAACCAAAUUCCUUAGGGACAGCAGGAAGCAGAGAUGGCGCAAUCGUGAGGUAGUAUGCAAACCCUCAGGUCAAGAAGAGGCACAGCUCUGGGGUGGCAAGCCUUCUACAGUGAGGCUGCCAGCCUUUUUGUUGCUCCCAAUGACGUUUGGACCCACGGCCAGGGUGGCAGAAGCUGCCGGCCAGGCACAAAAGGAAAAACCCCGUGAGUGAAGAGGUACAGCAAUGAGAUGAUGAUUUCUCCUUGGACACAUGACUAAAGGGAACUGGGUUAGAAGGACUUUCUCUUCCCAAAACAGAGGUUCCAAAAGGUUCCAUGAAGAGGGCAUUCUAGUGCUAACUAAACUAAGAACUCCCUGGGGACAGGAGCACCUCACUGUGACCACUGUGAACUCAUGUGGUGAUUAGGGUCACACACAUAACAGGCCUUUGGUAAACAGUUUCCCCAAGAAUAAAAGACCCCAAAGAACAGAGAGCUUGGGAAAGGUCAUCAGGAGGAAUUUUUCUUUUUCAUUGUGCCCUAGAUACUCUUUAUUGGAACUGACACUGGAUUAGGUAUUUGGGGGCAAGAAAGGCUAGGGAUAUAAAAGGCAACAGAGUCGGUGUUGGCAAAAGCUUCUUCGGAAAGAGAAGCGGCUAUGUUGGAUGAGAAGAGUCCAGAAAACAAGAUUUCAGUGCCAGCUGUCCCACCACCUCAGUGAGUGGACCCUGAGCAAGUCACAUUCCCUGCCUGAGUCUCCUUUACCCUUCAUACAAAUGAGAGAUUUGAACACUGUGUUCUGGAAGUUCCGUUCUGGCUCUCAGCUCCGAGAUGCAUGGACAUUACUAGGACUAAGCGCCUCUACCCUCUGUAUCAGGCAAGUUUGAACGGGUUGGAGAGAGCCGCUCAUGCCAAGCAGCUAGCUCCCGGGUGUGUGACAAGGUGCCUGGUGGGAAGCGACUGUGGGACUGAGAACGCAGGGCACUGCUGCUCCCGGGGAGGGCGAGCCCCCGGCCUCAGGUACCUGCCGCGGAGUGAGCUGCCAUCCCCGCCUGUCUUUGAGCACCAGCCACAGCCCCUUAGGGGCAACAGGGUCUAAAAAGCGUUUUCUACUCCUGCUUUAUUAUUAUUAUUUGUAGUAGUUUUGAUCCUUACAACUCUAUAGGAUCAGCAAGGCAAAAACUGUACCAUGUUAUAGAUGAAGAAUUGAGAUUAAAUGAUUUGCCCUAAUUAGACCUUGGCUUAGUUACAGAGUUAUCUUGCCUGGGUCACAGAACCUCCAUGCCCUCCUGUUUUAGUAUUUAUCCAGGAGAUUUGGGGCAUGCCUGUUUCCUCCCUCUCCCGUGCUCUUCAGGAAGGCAAGGGCCAUGUCACGUUCGUCCCUGCCUCUCCCAUAAUGCCUGGCACAGAGCAGGCCCUCACCUGUUUGCGGAGCUGCAUUCUGAUGCUAAUUUUGUGCUUGUCCUCUCCAGGGAAGCAUGCCCCUCUAUUAAUCCCCCUAGCUUCCCUACCACCCUGUAUCAUUUUUUUCCCAUCAAAAAAGAAAAGAAAAAUUAGGUCACUUACUCAGGUUCAAAAUUUACCUUUCUAGCUUCCUAGUUUACCUGCAUGAGGAUGUGUUCUGUUUGGGAGCACUCAGUGAGAAAGAAAUCUGCUUUGCUGCGCUGUGGCCUGGGAGAUGGCCUGCCAAGUACGGGGCUUCACAGCAGUUCAUAGGAUCCCCCACCAGCACGGGAUGGCCAGUGUCCCCUUCCUGCACGGCUGGGGACCUUGGCAGAGCAGCCUCCCACCUUCGUGGCUUGUGAGUGCGAGGGGUGUGCGGUGCCGUGUGGGUGGGCACCAGGGAACCAGUAUUGGGGUGUUGUCAGUAGACCCCUUUUGACCCCCCACCCCUGGCCUCCGCCUGGGGGAUGUGUGACUUGUCGCUGAAGUAAUGCUGGCCUUUUGCAGGCAGCCCAGACUGUGGCUUUUCAACUUGGUCUCAGCUUCCACAUUCAUGCCAAGCGCCCUGGUGCCAGGAAACCUCACUUGGGACUAACUCUUCCAAAAGAGGCGUUUAUUUCCAGCUACCAUAAAAACUCCACUUUUCUCAGUUUUGACUUUGCCUUUCCAGUUAAUUGGAUUCCUCACAUGAUCCUGAUAAAGGAGAUCAUGUGUAUCUCCCAGUUUGUUUUUCCAAACAAAGUCAAAGCAUUAUUUCUUUCCAGCUCAUGUUUUUCUGUUCUGAAAUGUGACAGGAGAUUAACAUGGCACAGCUCAAAAUGCCUCUUGUGAUUUCUGAUUGGGAGUUAUGAGGCCCAGGGAACAAGAUCUGCAUUACCCAAGGACCAGAAUUUU